Eptatretus burgeri (inshore hagfish) is the source of this 2955-nucleotide long non-coding RNA. NCBI's taxonomy places the organism in Eukaryota, Metazoa, Chordata, Myxini, Myxiniformes, Myxinidae. The record is from Ensembl.
GAGAGUUAUUUAAUCCAACUUAUGUCGUUUUAAAAUAAUUAUACAUAAUCCGUGGAAUGUGAUCAACGUUCGACUUCAAAAUCGUUCACCUGGUCAUUCAAGUCGUGUUAGUCAAAAAAAGAUGGAAUGAAGGAAAAAAUAUUUAAACACUUGAUAAUUCUUAUAGAAGAUAAAUCUGAGAAAAUGUAGAUUAUGAAAGAGCAAAAAAUCACUAAAUUCAUAUAUAUUAUAAUGUGUGUGAUGAAAAUAAUUUUUGGUAAAUAUAUAUAUUUUUCGUUCUUUUAAUCAUUCUUUCGUCCUUCGCACCUCAGUUGGGCCGAGAGAGGCGGGAAGAGUGUGAAGAGAUGGAGGGGCGAUUCCCAGGAUAUGGACGGACUCAUUUCGAGGACGAAGAUGAUGACGGCGGAGCUACACCAGUUCAAGAUGAGCGGGACUUUGAUUCAGAAAGCGAGGAGAAAAUUCCUGAGCAGGAUUAUGAAGAAGGAGAGCACAUAUCUGACGAAGAAUUGAGCUGUACUUUGCCGGUGCUGCCACGUGCUGAGAGCAGUGAUGGCGAAAUGCGUGAGGAUGCAGAGAGUGAUGUGGAACGUGAGGCUGGUGAAAUUGCUGGGGAUUCUGACAGUGAUGCUGGCCAAGCUGAUGAAGAAGAGCAGGAGGAAGGAGAACUUGACGAUGAUGAUGAGCCAGAGGAAGAGGAUUUCGUGAGACCCAAUUCAGAGUUUUCUCAUGCUGGGGGAAAGCAGUAUGCACAUGACAUUGAAGAGAAAAGAAACUCUGAAUUUCCCCAGAAUGGAGGACGAGAAGAAGAAGAAGUAGGAGAAGAAGAAGAAGGAGGAGAAGAAGAAGAAGAAGAAGAAGAAGAAGCAGAAGAAGAAGAAGAAGAAGAAGAGGUGUUGAGGGACAAUGAGUGGGAAAGUGAACAACGUUGGCAAUCGGAAAAUGAAAGUGAUGGCGAAGAAGUUUCAGCGAAGAGAAAGGCUUCCGAGAGUGAAAAUGAAGAAGAUGAGAACAUGGAAAUUGAAUGUGUUCCAGCCAGGAAGAAGAGCCGUGUGAUAUCUGAAGAUGAAAAUGACGAUGUGGAUGAUGGUUUAAGAGAAAAGCACAGUGUGGGAGAGAUAAAUUGGGGAAUUGAAAGAAAGGACGAAAAAGCAAUGGAAGAAGAGGAUUAUGAGGACCACGAGGUUAUGGCUAUUUCGGCAGAAAAGGGUGUUUCAUCUGGAUCUGAGGAAGAGGAUGGUGAGCCGAGGCCUUUGUCAAAGUCUCCACCGCACCUCGCUCACUUACGCUCUGACGAUGAAGAAGAAUUGAAUCCGGAAGACCAACCUGCAGGUCCAAGCCGUGGGCAAGGCCUGGUAUCGGACAGCGAUUCUGAUCAGGACAGAACAUCCACCCAGGGAAAAGACUCUUUAACUUUGGAUGAAGAGCCAGAGGCUGUCUCCAAUUCACCAGCAGAAAUAGAAGAAAGGACAGGAAAGGAAGAGAUGUUUGAUCGAUUAGAAGGAGACCAACAAGAAGAACUUACACAUAACGAAGAUGUAGAGUCACCAGAGAAGGAUGAUCAACCUUUGGCCAGUGACAAUGAAUCUGCAGAUGAGUAUGUUUUAUAAAACUUGUUGUUAUUGUUGUCUUUAAUCAUUAAUGUUUUGUUAAUUUAAUUUUUACCCAAUGUCUAAGGCUUGUGAUCAAACUGCAAUGUAACUUCAUGAUGGGAAAUUUAAUUGAGGUGUACAACAAUGUAAUGUGUGAACAUGUGUACAUCUUGUUCUCCACAUUUCACUACCCAUCGUCCUUUGUCUGAUGUCAAUUUCACGUAAUGUCAAUGCCAUGCAUUGUCUUUCUCUGUACUUCCAUAAAUUUGCUUCUGAUCGAUCUGUAGAAUCUCGUCCCUCCACUUCAUAGACAUCCUUUAACAAUUGUACAACUUUAUUAAAUACAUUGUUAUAUUUUUUGAGGUAUGCUCUAAAAGGUAGGUGUAGAUCUCACAUAUUGGUUCACAAAAAAAAAUUUUCACGAAAAAUAUAAUUGGUUCACGAAAAAAUAUUUUCACGAAAAAAUAUUUUCACGAAAAAUAUAAUUGGUUCACGAAAAAAUAUUUUCACGAAAAAUAUGUGACCACUAUUUUCGUUAUUGUUGUGUGUCUGUCUGUCUGUCUGUCUGUCUGUUUGUCUGUCUGUAUGUCUGUCUGUCCCGAGCAUAGCUCUGUGGGUUUUGAUCCGAUCCUGAUGAAAUUUUGGUGGGAGGUUUAUAUCAUGAUCUAGUUGUCUUUUCCUGAAAAUGGGCAUGGUCCGCCCAUAAAAAACAUGUGUUUUUAGGGGGUAGCCGAUUUCAAUUUGCAUCUUCUCCUAGGGGUUUUGUCGAACCUGACAGGGGUUUCGGUAUUUGGUUCGCCCAAUGGAACCUGCAUAGCCCCACGGAGCUCGAUUUUUCAUUUUCGUCCCAAGGCCAAGGUCACAAGGUCACGAACUUAGAAAAUUGCGAUUUUGACAUAAAAUAAUUUCUUCUCCAAGGGGUUUGUCGAAUCUGGCAGGAGUUUUUGAUAUUUGGUUAGCCCAAUGGCACAUGCAUAGCCCCACAGAGCUCGAUUUUUCAUUUUCGUCCCAAGGUCAAGGCCACAAGGUCACGAACUUAGAAAAUUGCGAAUUGUGUUUUUAGGGGGUAGCCGAUUUCAAUUUGCAUCUUCUCCUCGGGGGUUUGUCGAAUCUAGCAGGGGUUUUGGUAUUUGGUUAGCCCAAUGGCACCUGCAUAGCCACACGGAGUUCGAUUUUUCAUUUUAGUCCCAAGGUCAUGAACUUGGGACUAAAAUGAAAAAUCGAGCUAUGUGGGGCUAUUUCAAAUUUCGAAUUUUGAGAUAAAAAUCAGACGACCGCCCAAACUUUUAGAGCGAGGAUGACAAUAUUUUUUAUGCAUAAUCUUGAGGUCAUUCCCCACCUAAAGUCUUGAAACCAUUUUUCUCUA